This 512-nucleotide ribosomal RNA is filed under the name uncultured bacterium. RNAcentral describes it as "bacterial SSU rRNA". It matches the Rfam family "Bacterial small subunit ribosomal RNA", at positions 355 to 855 of the family's 1533-position model. The record is from RNAcentral.
UGGGGAAUCUUGCGCAAUGGGCGAAAGCCUGACGCAGCGACGCCGCGUGAGGGAGGAAGGCCUUCGGGUUGUAAACCUCUUUCAGGAGGGACGAAGCUACUCGGGUGAAUAGCCCAGAGGGUGACGGUACCUCCAGAAGAAGCCCCGGCUAACUACGUGCCAGCAGCCGCGGUAAUACGUAGGGGGCAAGCGUUGUCCGGAUUUACUGGGCGUAAAGAGCGUGUAGGCGGCCAAACAGGUCCGUUGUGAAAACUGGAGGCUUAACCUCCAGACGUCGACGGAAACCGUGUGGCCAGAGUCCGGAAGAGGAGAGUGGAAUUCCUGGUGUAGCGGUGAAAUGCGCAGAUAUCAGGAAGAACACCAAUGGCGAAGGCAGCUCUCUGGGACGGUACUGACCGCUGAGGACGCGAAAAGCGUGGGGAGCGAACAGGAUUAGAUACCCUGGUAGUCCACGCCGUAAAACGAUGGGUGCUAAGUGUGGGAGGUGUCGACUCCUUCCGUGCCGUAGCUAA